This 27-nucleotide non-coding RNA is filed under the name Rattus norvegicus (Norway rat). Lineage: Eukaryota; Metazoa; Chordata; Mammalia; Rodentia; Muridae. The record is from RNAcentral.
UGCUUGCCCCAAGGAAUAGCAAAAGGG